RNAcentral lists this transfer RNA (940 nucleotides) under uncultured cyanobacterium. Its description in RNAcentral is "partial contains 16S ribosomal RNA and 16S-23S ribosomal RNA intergenic spacer". The stretch from base 276 to 348 matches the Rfam family "tRNA". Lineage: Bacteria; Bacillati; Cyanobacteriota. The record is from RNAcentral.
UGGAUCACCUCCUAACAGGGAGACAACAACUGAUUUUGAUGUCUGAGUAAUUUAUUCUCAGGCCGAAAUCCUGUCAUCUCGAAGGUCGAUCGGUACCUCAACUUGAGGGUCUAGAGAGUUUAUUCUGCUAGGUCAACUCAAUUUCAGUUCCUAAACUUUGUCUAGGUCACCCACUAAGGGUACAUAACUCCUGGGCCAUUAGCUCAGGUGGUUAGAGCGCACCCCUGAUAAGGGUGAGGUCCCUGGUUCAAGUCCAGGAUGGCCCAUUCGUGUUUGGGGGUUUAGCUCAGUUGGUAGAGCGCCUGCUUUGCAAGCAGGAUGUCAGCGGUUCGAGUCCGCUAACCUCCAUCCAACCGGAGGCCCCUUGGUUCGAAUUCUGAAAGGAGUUCCUGGUGAGGUGACAUAGAUUAAAUUCGGAACUGGCAUUAAAAGAUGACCAGGUAAGCAACGCUGAGUCAACCGACUCCAGCCUCGUUUCAUUCCAGAGUUUAUCGACAGACAAAUUUUUUGAGAGAUCAAGAGAGUUUGUUUGGAGAUUAAUUGGUUGAAACGAUGCUGGACUCAAGGCUUUUAACCAAAGCCUUAAGUUUCAGCAGAACCUUGACAACUGCAUAGGUAAGUCUGGAAAUAAAGCAUCUCAUGGAUGCCCAGACGCGUAAGAGAUCAAGUGAGGGUGAAUAACCUGAGCUUGAAAUUUUUGUGUGUUUGGGAAAAUUCUAUUGAGUUUUUAGAGCCGAGAAAUCCAAUGGUUCUUUUCAGCCAUCCAAGUUAACUGCGUGGAGGGCUAGAAGAGUUUGAUCCUGUGAUUCAAACCAGUUCAUUUAUGAACCAGGUGAAUGCAGAGAGAAUGGGCCUCAACAGCCUGAAGCCAUUGGAGGAUAAUUUGGUCAAGCUACAAAGGGCUCACGGUGGAUACCUUGGCACACAGAGGCGAUGAAGG